UACGUAGGGUGCAAGCGUUGUCCGGAAUUAUUGGGCGUAAAGAGCUCGUAGGCGGUCUGUCGCGUCGGCUGUGAAAACCCGAGGCUCAACCUCGGGCCUGCAGUCGAUACGGGCAAACUAGAGUACUGCAGGGGAGACUGGAAUUCCUGGUGUAGCGGUGAAAUGCGCAGAUAUCAGGAGGAACACCAAUGGCGAAGGCAGCACUCUGGGACGUGACUGACGCUGAGACGCGAAAGCGUGGGGAGCAAACAGG
RNAcentral lists this ribosomal RNA (253 nucleotides) under uncultured bacterium. RNAcentral describes it as "partial 16S ribosomal RNA". It matches the Rfam family "Bacterial small subunit ribosomal RNA", at positions 524 to 776 of the family's 1533-position model. The record is from RNAcentral.